CCUACGGGGGGCAGCAGUGGGGAAUAUUGCACAAUGGGGGAAACCCUGAUGCAGCAACGUCGCGUGAGUGAUGACGGCCCUCGGGUUGUAAAGCUCCGUCUUCAGGGACGAUAAAGACGGUACCUGAGGAGGAAGCCACGGCUAACUACGUGCCAGCAGCCGCGGUACUACGGAGGUGGCGAGCGUUGUCCGGAUUUACUGGGCGUAAAGGGAGCGUAGGCGGACUUUUAAGUGAGAUGUGAAAUACUCGGGCUCAACUUGAGUGCUGCAUUUCAAACUGGAAGUCUAGAGUGCAGGAGAGGAAGAUGGAAUUCCUAGUGUAGCGGUGAAAUGCGUAGAGAUUAGGAAGAACCCCGGUGGCGAAGGCGGUUCUCUGGACUGUAACUGACGCUGAGGCUCGAAAGCGUGGGGAGCAAACAGGAUUAGAUACCCGUGUAGUC
RNAcentral lists this ribosomal RNA (440 nucleotides) under uncultured bacterium. Its description in RNAcentral is "partial 16S ribosomal RNA". It matches the Rfam family "Bacterial small subunit ribosomal RNA", at positions 338 to 795 of the family's 1533-position model. The record is from RNAcentral.